UUGUUUGGAAUAUUAUCUACUGGUGACAAGUUAUGUUAACAUGGUUGUGAUAUUGAGUUGCUCCAAUUUGUAUAUGUAAGCAGUGCUGUUUUACGUCGAAGGUUAGCCACAGUGUCUUCCUCAGUACCAGUCGUAGUUAUUGUUUGCAUGUGUUAGAGCACUGCACGGGCCCGGGCCGUCCGAAACGUUUUUCGGUGGGCUCGAGCCGGGCCCGGGCUUAAAGCCACGGGCCCGGGCCGGGCUCGGGCUUGAAAAGCCGCGGGCCCUGGUCGGUCUCGGGUCCGUUCAUUAAAGGACCCAAGUUGGGCCUUCGACCACACGCGAAAGUUAUGCAUUGCAUGGAUCAAGGCAAUCUGUGCCAAGCUCCUGUGACACGUGCAAAGUGCUGGCUUUUAAUAUACCUUAGCACAGAAAAUCCACAAAAACAAACAUUUUUUCCGUGUCAGGAAAAAUAAAUUAUACAAAAGCCACCUUUCAAACCAUUUGCCUGUUACCGCUUUUGUGGUUGCAAUAUAACCACUCUUGACAGCAUUAUAUUAUUUUAGCACUAACGCAAUGGGUGUCUCCUUCUACUUGUGCAUUUAAUUUUUGUUGUAUGCUCGUGAAUUCGCCUGUUCAUAUAUAUAUAUAUAUAUAUAUAUAUAUAUAUAUAUAUAUGCAUGCUACAUCAUCUCAUUGGACCAAAUAGUACGAUCAAGGUAAAUGCAUGGGCACCUGCGGAAAAAUAACAGCAUAGGCAAUGGGCCAGAUCAGUGAUGUUCCCAUGGGGGAAACAAAGAUUUCAGUAUAUUAUUGCUUAUACCCUGCAGCUGAGUCUCGAGAAGGUGAGGCUGACACAUAUGGUACACUCUAAGUAAAAAAUAUAUAUAUUUGUUUACUUAGAGGUUGGGCCUAUGCAUGCACAUGCUGGCCCUGGCUAAACUUAGUAAUGAAUGCCCGGGCUGGGCCCGGGCUUAGCAACACGGGCCAGGGUAGGGCCCGGGCUUGGAACCACGGGCCUGGGCAGUGCUCUAGCAUGUGUAGCACAUAAUAAUUUGACAUUAAUUUGACAGUAUUGCAGUUCAACAAAAUUUUUCAUUGGGUUAUAGCACCUUCCGGCAAAAACCUGUUUAAGGAACACAGUAUGUCAUGCCCUUUUGAUGAAUGAUAAUAGUUGUCAUGGUAAAGCACAUCUAAUGGCUCUCCAUGGCUGCAUUACUUUUUUUUUUAAUUGGCUUGGUUUGAUUAGGACUAGGCUACAUAAUGCACGCAAAAGCUCAUCUUGGUUUCAGGAGUGCAUGCUGCAUGAAAGUACUGUGAGGGUACCUCGGCAGAUUUCUCUUCAGUAUCCUAUUUACUCUAAAGUAACCAGUCUUAAUUUUCUAAAAGUGCACAGCCUUUUUAUAGUUGCUAAUUUUUGUUGUAUUUUCUGUCAUAAGUAAAAAUUAUCUUGUGUUACCAUUCUACAUUAUUUAUCUAUGAAAGCAAAAUAGCUUUUUUUUGUACUUCUGAAAUGUGAUGCUAAUUUACAAAGUGAUGAAUUAUUCAUUUAGUCACCUGCACUUUAUGAACUAUUUCUGGGGCACUGUGGCUCUGCAACUCAUUUCAACAGUUGAUCUGGUCUUGCUUGCACAGUCAUCAUGCAGACGGCAUUCUGAGCAGUUUCUUGUUCUUGAAAGGCCAACUGCUACAAAAUUUUUGACCAUGUUAAAAGCAUAGUUGCAGAUAGAGUAGAUAUAUAACAUCCUAUCCGGAAAAUUUAGAAAUAGAAGUACUAGUGGUUGCAUCAUGAAAAUUUAUGAAAAAUAGAUGUUUUUGAUACCAAAACUCGAAAUACUGGAAUUACCACUCGCCGGAAAUAAUGCACGUUGCGCAACAUUGUGAACCAGCACACAAACUGGGCAUGACCUCCGAGAUGGGCACCGCCCGCAACACGCUGAAAAUCUGAGGUCAUGGUCUGGAUUAUGCAUCAUUUCUUGUAACCACCAGGUCCCUGUGUCAUCUGCUAACGUGAUAUAAUUGCCUGUCCUGCAGUUUUGCCAAGUUUACUUCAAUAGUAUGUCCUCCUAAGACCCCUUGUACAAUACAUUGAACAUUGCCUUCUACAUUUUUUCUAAAUUCGCUCGGUAGUGAUUAUGCAGAUUCUGCGUAUAAAGUAUGGUGCAUGUGUAACUGUAAAGAAGUGGUUUACUCAUAUUCUUGUCAUCCGCUUUCAAGGUAUUUGACCCUCUAUUAAUCUAGACCUUUGUGUCGUCCCAGACCGCCCAAAGCAACCGUGAGGUGUGUUUCGAAAUCACUGAGAUUGCGUGAAAAUACCGGGUGCGCCAGCAACAUGGCAAUAUACUACACGUAGUUCCAUCUUCAUCUCUGCAUUUAAGCAAUGAAAUGCAGUUUUUACCAUAGGAAACAUGAGGAGAUGUUUACAUACAUGGAGACACAGUGUUUGGCAUCUAACCGUGGUAUUAAAAAUUUUUAAAUUGUUUUUCAAGUUCAUAACAUAACAGUAGACAAUAAAAACCACCUUAAAGAGCAGUUAUAUCACAUAGCUGAGUUCGGGUCUCAGGUGGUUACACUACUCAUUUAUAACCAAUUUAGCCAUAUUGAAAAUUGGUUGUGCUUGGCCUUUAAAUAGGCCCUGUAACCAACCAAUACAGGUACCUGAAGGAACACUUCACACCAGGCACACAUGUGCCGUAGGUAAGACAUCUGAGUGAGGCGCAAACAUCAGAUAUUCUCUCACUAGCCUGUGAUACACCAGUUGACACCACACACUUCAUAUCAAUGUAGGCACAAAAAAAAACUCGACACAAAAAGCGACACGGAAACGGUUGAGUCUAUGAACGAAGUAAUACACACAAUACAAGCCGCUCGCCCAAAUGUACACAUAACUGUGACAACUGUUGCUCCCCGCUUACAAAACAAACAUUGCUCACUAAUCCACCAAACUAACGCACUCAUGAAACAUAAUGAGGAGACCAACAAACUUAACUCGUUAAUAUUCAACUAGGAGCACUUCAACGAGAACGUUGACACAAUGCACCACGCAGAAAUACACGAAGCACCGCACGAACAUCUAGCUUCGAACAGUUUCCAUCUAAACAGAAAUACAGCUAGUUUCCCAACAUAUCAAAUCCUUUAUUAAUGACAAGUACAGAAAAACACUACCUAAAUCUACCUCAGAAACCACAUCCACCGACUCUGCUGACCAUGCCACCUCGAACAACAAAACUGCAACAGUCACCUCAGGAACACUCGGAACACAACCAGCGGAAAGUGAAACGAGCCACUGGACACAUGCUACUCCAAAAAUGAAAUCAACAGCUGUCCAAGCAGACAACACAAAAUCCACUACCGAAGUGUUCACACAGACACCCACACGCCCAUCUGCACAUGCACAGACUCAAACAGAAACAGAGCUGGAAUUAAGUGAGGCUUGUGGGAAGAAACCUGCCAAACAGAAACACACCCGAAGCAGAUCUACCCAUCAAAAGCUAAAUAAAUGACAGCCAUUGAAAAUUAAUAACCCUUCUCUGCCACGAAGCACUGAAUUUUUACAGGCUAGAAAACUUACCAAAAAACGUGCUAGCUACACCUUCCAUCUCAAAACGUACUCAAACUGUACACAGAACAAUAUAAUCCCUAAAGGUUAGUACUAACACUGUAGGCUAUACCAGCCCUAGGCACUCCCCACUACAUCAUCAUGCAAACUGGCAAACAACAUUAAACAAUGCUUCACUCUCACUUUUGAAUAUCCUCAAGGAACACUGCAAAGAACAACUGGAAAGCUUUAUCCACAGAAUUCAGAACAUUGAUCUGACACCGGAUGAGAUGAAAGAUUUAGAGCAUUACCAUGAAAAACAGAGGAAGAAAGCUUCGUGGUGGCGCAUGAAAGGUGUUGCGUUGUACUAUGCCAUGGCUAGACCAUGCUGGAGGUUUGUGGUGAGCCUCUAUAACCCAUUGCCUGGGUGCAAGGUGUUGAUCAGCGCAUGCACGAAUCAUGCCAGAUGAAUUCAAGUACUCCCAGCUUGCAUCCAAGGAAGAGUUCAGAUCUUUGUUCACCCGGGGCCAGCAGGCACCCUCCGGGUGAACAGGAACCAUACUGAAAUGGCUGGGGGCUUUGGUACGCCCCUGUAAUCCAAAUGCUUGGAGGCCUUGGUAUGAAAAUGCAUUCCUUGUGAAAGAGUCAAUAACUGUGUUGUUAGGGCCGGGGGUUGGUUGUGCGCCCCUGUAAUCCAGCUUACUGGAGGCCACAGCGCAGAAGCCGGGUCUCGUAAGUCGGUCCUGGGAAGAGUCCGGUGACCAUUCAUGGUCCAGAGGCACCUGAACGAUGUGGAUGGUUGUGUGUCCGCGUAAUCCAGCUUGUUUGGAGUCGCGGCUUCUGGACAGAAGCUCUCCCCACCUCCAUGGGGUGCGUCACGGGCAACGUGCGGGUGGCUUCGGAUGCCUGCACGGCUUAGAGGGGGAGCUCGCGCUGCUGUCUGGAGUCGCGAGGACCGCGGUGGCAGUGAGGGGGAAAAAGGUUGUACCUAUUACGCGUGGCCUAGUUGUAGAGCGUCCACCUCGGCUGCGGGAGGUGGUGGGUUCGAUUCCCACCACCGCCGGGCACCCACUGGUUAAAAUGGGCACAACUGUACCCCGGCCUGGCGUUCAGCUUCCUUCAGGGGUUACAUGCUUGGGAAAGGAGUCUGCGCCCUAAAUUCUUGUCAAAACCCUCGUGAGCACAACUAGGCCACGGCUGCGGUUUAAUCAAAAAGCAACCUUCCAUGCAAACAGCCACCUCAUGCCAGCAAGAGGGAGCUCGAACUAGAAACACCAGAUAUGGCUUAAUUCUCCACAAAAUUAAUCCAGUCUAAAGCUGUAGAUGUUUAAAAAAAAUAAAUAGGGAAGAAAUAGGCGUGCUUAGCAAGGGCCUAAACUUUUGUCCCACGAACACAAUAAGUAAGUUCGAGCUUCACAAGGACCAUUCAGAAUUUUCCCGACAAAUGCAUAUCAGGCAUUUUUUCACAGGCAACACUCUAGACACUGGGAUGACACCACUUAGAGCCCAGUCCACUUGGAUUCCUGAACCAGAACAAGCCACAGAACUCGACCUAUAUCUUAAACCUGUCACUAAAGAAAUUAUAAGCCAAUCCAAGACAGCUAGGCAACCUGAAAAGAUAACUGUCUCAGAGAGUCGUAUCAUCUCAAAUCUUGGUUGCCGGAAUGACAUCAUUAAGGAAGCAGAUAAGGGUGAAGUGCAAUUAUUUGGCCAGUAGAUAAGUACAAGCACAAGUCUUAUAGACAGCUAAAAAAACCCUGAACAUUACCGUAAGCUAGACAACAGUCCAACAUUGCCAUACACACUUUGCCACCAACAGGCUGAAAUCACUUUUUCCUGAUGAAUUGAUAACACCGUCAGAAUUCAAUUUUCUUAAACCAAGCAACAAAACAGCAGGACGCUUCUACCUCCUGAAUAUUCACAAAAUUCCACAUACUGAACUAUACAUUGCUCAUAUUCCAGGGCGUCCGAUAGUAUCAAAUAACACCACCCUGACAGAGAGCCUCUCCACAUUUCUUAACCACUUCCUUGGUGAAAUACCAAAAAACUUCCGUCAUUUGUACAAGAUACCCCCCACCUACUGAGAAUUAUGGAGGACAUUAAUAAAGGCAGACUACCGCAGAACAUAAUUCUCGCUACACUAUAGUACAUGAUGGACCUGUACAGCAACAUUUUAAUCCCUGAUGGCUUAUCUUCGAUAAAAGAAAUGCUGUCCAAACACAAUGCACAACACUCUAUUGAAGUCUACUUGUCUCGUCUUGAAUUAGUUCUAACAUAUAACUACUUCGAAUUUGAAGACAAUUACAACCUACAAAUACAUCGGACAAGUAUUGGUGCACCUUUUGCACCAACUUAUGCAAACAUUUAUGGGGACUUUAAAAACAGAUUUCCUAUAUCGCUGCACAGACAAGCCUCAUAGAUACGUACAAUACAUAGAUGACAUAUUUAUACUAUGGGGACAUGGUCAGGAGAAUCUAGAUAAAUUUGUAACAUUCCUAAAUUCUUUUCACACAAUAAUAAAAUUCACAUUGGAAUCUUCAACUCGGCACAUAAACUUUCUGGACACAGCAAUAUAUAUUGACAAUAGGACGCUAAAGACAACGCUGUAUAGGAAACCUUUUGACAAACAACAGUACCUAGAAUGUACAAGCCACCAUCACAGACAUUGCAAACAAGGUAUCUUUAAAGGUCAGCCGCAUGACUACGUCACAUUUGUGUUGAAAACCAAGACUGCAUAGACUCGGUCACCUUAAAGAAACCCUAUCAAACAGGAACCACUGGAACUCUGCCCUUCAAAAAGCCUACACUGAUGCAACAAAACUUGAGCGAGCCGAGGUCCUUAAACCCCGCCAUACGAUCACAAGAUCUACGAUCAUACGAUCUUGCUACUAAAUUCUCAAGCAAGGUAACUUCGACUUUAACAUGCACAUAAAGCAAUGUAGUCUACUGUCUUGAGUGUGUAUCUUGUAACAAACAAUAUGUAGGUGAGACUGGACAACAAAUUCAUACAAGGCUCAACGGCCAUCGCGCAGAUACAAAACUCAAUUUACUUAAAGCAGUAGCCAGCCACUUCAAUGAACAUGGCCUAAUAUUUGAUAAAGCAAGGCUACAGUACUACAAACAAAUUUACAUUCACCUCGCGAGAGGAAAUAUACGAAAUCAUGCCUCAUACACAAGUUUAAAUGCCUACACUCGAUGGGAAUCAAUUUGGCACAUGGCAACUUAGAAUUGCUGAAAGCUGUAACUUAAACUUGAAAUUCUC
This is a long non-coding RNA of Dermacentor silvarum, 6779 nucleotides long. RefSeq lists it as uncharacterized. The record is from RefSeq and is a predicted model, not a curated record. NCBI's taxonomy places the organism in Eukaryota, Metazoa, Arthropoda, Arachnida, Ixodida, Ixodidae. The transcript is spliced from 2 exons.